CAUGCAUGUCUAAGAACGCCGUUUCGGUUUUUCUGUAUAUAGCUCAUUACAACAGUACUAUUUGCCUCGAUUAAUCCUACCUAGGAUACUUUCGAUAAUCCUGGAGUCAAUACCGUGUCCCUACGGGGAAAUGAGGUCACCAGCCUGCUUUGCAGUUUGUGUACCGUAUUAUCUGAAUUUCUUAUGAAACCGAGCGUUAGCUUCGGCAAAUCGUGCAAAGCACUGUCCUUUUAACUUGAGAUGGUAGUGUGGGGGACUACCAUGGUGAUUACGGGUAACGGGGUAUAAGGGUAUUACACCGGAGAGGAUGCCUUAGAUACGGCAACCACAUCUAAGGGAGGCAGCAGGCGCGCAAAUUACCACGUCUUAAAUCAAGGCGGUAGUGACGAAACGUAUCAAGCUAUUCUCUAUGAGAGUAUGCAUUGAAAUGGUUUUAAACCAAAACCUUGAAAGAGGAUCUAUGAGAGGGCAAGUCUGGUGCCAGCAGCCGCGGUAAUUCCAGUUCUCAAGGCGUAUGGCCUUUGUGUUGUGGUUAAAAAGCUCGUGAUUGUAUCUGUGUUAGUACCUUAGGCUCGUCCUGGGGGAAUCGCCUUAUGGCGAGAGCUACUCUGAGCAAAUCAGAGUGCUCAAAACAAGCUUUUUGCUUGAAUGUUCGUGUAUGGAAUGAUUGAAAAGGACUUUGUGUUCUUAUUAGUUGGUUUUGAAUCAAAGUAAUGGUUGAACGGGACCCGCGGGGGCAUACGUAUCGUUACGCGAGAGGUGAAAUUCGUGGACCGUAACGAGACGACCUAAAGCGAAAGCAUUUGCCAAGAAUGUCUU
Molecule: ribosomal RNA, 819 nt
Filed under: Pelodera sp. 4 TWN1451
Lineage: Eukaryota; Metazoa; Nematoda; Chromadorea; Rhabditida; Rhabditidae
Description: SSU rRNA
Rfam family: Eukaryotic small subunit ribosomal RNA
Source: RNAcentral